This 31-nucleotide non-coding RNA is filed under the name Rattus norvegicus (Norway rat). The record is from RNAcentral. Lineage: Eukaryota; Metazoa; Chordata; Mammalia; Rodentia; Muridae.
UCCCUAUAAAUAUUGAAGACUUUAUAGACGU